UGUGUGCCUAUGAUGGUGUUAAAUAUACUCCGAGAUUCAUUUCUAUGAUAUAAACUUCGAUCUGAGGCACUAG
This is a small nucleolar RNA of Vigna angularis (adzuki bean), 73 nucleotides long. The record is from Rfam. NCBI's taxonomy places the organism in Eukaryota, Viridiplantae, Streptophyta, Magnoliopsida, Fabales, Fabaceae.